Molecule: long non-coding RNA, 316 nt
Filed under: Selaginella moellendorffii
Lineage: Eukaryota; Viridiplantae; Streptophyta; Lycopodiopsida; Selaginellales; Selaginellaceae
Description: long non-coding RNA (SMOE_LNC002206)
Source: RNAcentral
AACUAGGUUAAACCAAUUGGUUGAUUGGGUUGGACAAACUGACUGACUAGGUUGGCUGCUAGUGAGCUGGUGGCAAGUCUAGUUUACUAGCAAACUUGACUUGCCCAAACAUGUCUAUCUAGUUGGUGUUACUAACCAAGUAAACUGGGGUUGUUGACCAGGUUUGACUGGGCUAGGCUGCAGUGGAAUGGUGGGCAAGUUUGGUUUGUUGGCAAACCAAACUUACCCAGAUAUGGUUGGCUAGCUUAAACCUUAAAAUAAGCUAGACCCAUAAUGUGAAAGGAGAAGGAAGAAGCAAGUAAAGAAAAAAAUGGAA